CAGUAGCCACGGUAAUACAGAGGGUGCGAGCGUUAAUCGGAUUUACUGGGCGUAAAGCGUGCGUAGGCGGCUUCUUAAGUCGGAUGUGAAAUCCCUGAGCUUAACUUAGGAAUUGCAUUCGAUACUGGGAAGCUAGAGUAUGGGAGAGGAUGGUAGAAUUCCAGGUGUAGCGGUGAAAUGCGUAGAGAUCUGGAGGAAUACCGAUGGCGAAGGCAGCCAUCUGGCCUAAUACUCACGCUGAGGUACGAAAGCAUGGGGAGCAAACAGGAUUAGAUACCCGUGUAGUCCCUGUCUCUUAUAC
RNAcentral lists this ribosomal RNA (301 nucleotides) under uncultured bacterium. RNAcentral's name for it is "partial 16S ribosomal RNA". It matches the Rfam family "Bacterial small subunit ribosomal RNA", at positions 509 to 807 of the family's 1533-position model. The record is from RNAcentral.